RNAcentral lists this ribosomal RNA (406 nucleotides) under uncultured bacterium. Its description in RNAcentral is "partial 16S ribosomal RNA". It matches the Rfam family "Bacterial small subunit ribosomal RNA", at positions 29 to 526 of the family's 1533-position model. The record is from RNAcentral.
AUUGAACGCUGGCGGCAGGCUUAACACAUGCAAGUCGAGCGAGCGGCGGACGGGUGAGUAAUGUCUGGGAAACUGCCCGAUGGAGGGGGAUAACUACUGGAAACGGUAGCUAAUACCGCAUACCAUCGGAUGUGCCCAGAUGUGAUUAGCUAGUAGUUGGGGUAAAGGCUCACCUAGGCGACGAUCCCUAGCUGGCCUGAGAGGAGGACCAGCAACACUGGAACUGAGACACGGUCCAGACUCCUACGGGAGGAAGCAGUGGGGAAUAUUGCACAAUGGGCGCAAGCCUGAUACAGCAAGGCCGCGGGGAUGAAGAAGGCCUUCGGGUUGUAAAGUACUUUCAGCGGGGAGGCGGUACCCGAAGAAGAAGCACCGGCUAACUCCGUGCCAGCAGCCGCGGUAAUAC